CCUACGGGGGGCUGCAGUGGGGAAUUUUGCGCAAUGGGCGAAAGCCUGACGCAGCGACGCCGCGUGGGUGAUGAAGGCCCUCGGGUUGUAAAGCCCCGUGGGGAGGGAAGAAUAAGGGUAUGUAAAUAGCGUAUCUGAUGACGGUACCUCCUUAGCAAGCACCGGCUAACUCUGUGCCAGCAGCCGCGGUAAGACAGAGGGUGCAAAAGUUGUUGGGAAUUACGGGGCGUAAAGCGCGUGUAGGCGGCUGGAAGGCCCUUGGCUCAACUGAGGAAGAGCAUUCGAAACUGCGCAGCUUGAGUUCUGGAGAGGAUGGUGGAAUUCUCGGUGUAGAGGUGAAAUUCGUAGAUAUCGAGAGGAACACCAGUGGCGAAGGCGGCCAUCUGGACAGAAACUGACGCUGAGACGCGAAAGCGUGGGUAGCAAACAGGAUUAGAUACCCUGGUAGUC
RNAcentral lists this ribosomal RNA (450 nucleotides) under uncultured bacterium. Its description in RNAcentral is "partial 16S ribosomal RNA". It matches the Rfam family "Bacterial small subunit ribosomal RNA", at positions 338 to 795 of the family's 1533-position model. The record is from RNAcentral.